CCUGAUCAAGGACACUUCGACAGACUCUCUGGAAGAGUCUGGGUUGUUUUUGGAGUGUCCUUAUAUAGCUCUACAGCUGCACACAGAGAUGGUAAAUUUUGACCUGAGGGUGGAAUAAGAGGAAAAGUUGGAGAGUACACAGGAAGAAGGGUCCUGAAGAACAUCUUAUUAACCCAAAUUUCAAGAAGGCAACGUACUCGUGCAGACACCAAACUCAGUAUCCUGCUAUUCCUGUGUCCACCGAACAGGAUGGGGUCCAUCAGCACAACACUCAACAUAUAGAGACUUUGUGGCCGAGACCAACAGACCCCUCCUCUCUACCAGAACAUGUUUAACUGCACAGCUGUGAGUCUCUUCAUAUCAGGAGCCCAAGGACAGUGGAGAGGAUGAUGGGAUGUCUACACAUUUAUU
Long non-coding RNA from Micropterus dolomieu (smallmouth bass), 411 nucleotides. RefSeq lists it as uncharacterized. The record is from RefSeq and is a predicted model, not a curated record. Lineage: Eukaryota; Metazoa; Chordata; Actinopteri; Centrarchiformes; Centrarchidae. The transcript has 3 exons.